This 443-nucleotide ribosomal RNA is filed under the name uncultured Rickettsiaceae bacterium. RNAcentral describes it as "bacterial SSU rRNA". It matches the Rfam family "Bacterial small subunit ribosomal RNA", at positions 337 to 797 of the family's 1533-position model. The record is from RNAcentral. Lineage: Bacteria; Pseudomonadati; Pseudomonadota; Alphaproteobacteria; Rickettsiales; Rickettsiaceae.
UCCUACGGGGGGCAGCAGUGGGGAAUAUUGGACAAUGGGCGAAAGCCUGAACCAGCAAUACCGCGUGAAUGAUGAAGGCCUUAGGGUUGUAAAGUUCUUUUAGUUGGAAAGAUAAUGACGGUACCAACAGAAAAAGCCCCGGCUAACUCCGUGCCAGCAGCCGCGGUAAGAUGGAGGGGGCUAGCGUUGUUCGGAAUUACUGGGCGUAAAGGGCGCGUAGGCGGAUUAGUAAGUUGGGAGUGAAAGCCCGGGGCUUAACCUCGGAACUGCUGUCAAAACUGCUAGUCUUGAGUGAAGUAGGGGAUGAUGGAAUUCCUAGUGUAGAGGUGAAAUUCUUAGAUAUUAGGAGGAACACCGGUGGCGAAGGCGGUCAUCUGGACUUCAACUGACGCUGAGGCGCGAAAGCGUGGGGAGCAAACAGGAUUAGAUACCCCGGUAGUCCC